UUAAAUGAUGAUAUUUUAAUUUCGACUUAAAAUUUGUACAUAUUUAUGUACCAUUUAUA
Molecule: transfer RNA, 59 nt
Filed under: Ceratobaeus sp. MM-2013
Lineage: Eukaryota; Metazoa; Arthropoda; Insecta; Hymenoptera; Scelionidae
Description: tRNA-Arg
Source: RNAcentral